GCACAUAAACAUCAGUUAUACACAUUCAAUUCUGGUAGCUAUUUUGAGAUUAUUUUAUUGUUUUGUUCAUGCAUAGUAUUCUUAUUCUGAUAUAAAUAAAAUGAUUUGGAACAAACAUGAUUUAUACCUAUCCUUUCUUAAAAUUUCCGGUUAUGAAUAUACGAGUUAUUAAGAAACUAUGGUUUCAACUCCCUCAUUUUUGUAAGAUGGAUGUGGGCAUUAUUUUUAGAUUCUUUCAGUUCAUACAACUCUUCAAAUGUUUCAGUUCUUAUAAAUCAUUGGCCUUCAAAUGUAUGGCUCUGAACGUUUUCGUUAAAGGUUAGUUAAUCCAGAAAAGUGCUCUUCGACUAUCAAACCCUUGAGAUGCAAUGAAAAAAAACACAAAAAAAAAAACAAAACAGAAAAGCACUGGCCUUUAUAAA
Molecule: long non-coding RNA, 422 nt
Filed under: Mytilus galloprovincialis (Mediterranean mussel)
Lineage: Eukaryota; Metazoa; Mollusca; Bivalvia; Mytilida; Mytilidae
Source: RNAcentral